UGAACUGGGUGACUAGAGUGUGUCAGAGGGAGGUAGAAUUCCACGUGUAGCAGUGAAAUGCGUAGAGAUGUGGAGGAAUACCGAUGGCGAAGGCAGCCUCCUGGGAUAACACUGACGUUCAUGCUCGAAAGCGUGGGUAGCAAACAGGAUUAGAUACCCUGGUAGUCCACGCCCUAAACGAUGUCAAUUAGCUGUUGGGCAACUUGAUUGCUUAGUAGCGUAGCUAACGCGUGAAAUUGACCGCCUGGGGAGUACGGUCGCAAGAUUAAAACUCAAAGGAAUUGACGGGGACCCGCACAAGCGGUGGAUGAUGUGGAUUAAUUCGAUGCAACGCGAAGAACCUUACCUGGUCUUGACAUGUACGGAAUCCUCCAGAGACGGAGGAGUGCCUUCGGGAGCCGUAACACAGGUGCUGCAUGGCUGUCGUCAGCUCGUGUCGUGAGAUGUUGGGUUAAGUCCCGCAACGAGCGCAACCCUUGUCAUUAGUUGCCAUCAUUAAGUUGGGCACUCUAAUGAGACUGCCGGUGACAAGCCGGAGGAAGGUGGGGAUGACGUCAAGUCCUCAUGGCCCUUAUGACCAGGGCUUCACACGUCAUACAAUGGUCGGUACAGAGGGUAGCCAAGCCGCGAGGUGGAGCCAAUCUCACAAAACCGAUCGUAGUCCGGAUUGCACUCUGCAACUCGAGUGCAUGAAGUCGGAAUCGCUAGUAAUCGCAGGUCAGCAUACUGCGGUGAAUACGUUCCCGGGUCUUGUACACACCGCCCGUCACACCAUGGGAGUGGGGGAUACCAGAAGUAGGUAGGGUAACCGCAAGGAGCCCGCUUACCACGGUAUGCUUCAUGACUGGGGUGAAGUCGUAACAAGGUAGCCGUAGGGGAACC
Molecule: ribosomal RNA, 882 nt
Filed under: uncultured Neisseria sp.
Lineage: Bacteria; Pseudomonadati; Pseudomonadota; Betaproteobacteria; Neisseriales; Neisseriaceae
Description: bacterial SSU rRNA
Rfam family: Bacterial small subunit ribosomal RNA
Source: RNAcentral